AUGCUUAAAGCGCUAACACAUUAAUAUCCCAGAUAACCCAAGCUGCUUGUUAGGCGCUAGAAGGUUAUAGUCACAUAACUUGUCACAU
This is a long non-coding RNA of Haliotis rubra (blacklip abalone), 88 nucleotides long. RefSeq lists it as uncharacterized. Lineage: Eukaryota; Metazoa; Mollusca; Gastropoda; Lepetellida; Haliotidae. The record is from RefSeq and is a predicted model, not a curated record. The transcript has 3 exons.